AACAGAGGGGAAGGAUGGUGGUUAAGCUGCUAGCCUGGGACCCAGGAGAUCUGAGUUCACUUCUUUGCCCUACCACACAUGUGCUGUGAGAUUGUGAACAAGUCCCUCGUGGCCAGAUCCUCAAAGCAUCCUUUGAAUAUCCUCCAGAGCCCACACUCAUUCUGAACACUCUCGAAGGAAAUUAAAGAACGCCACCCGACUGGACCCUCUGGCCACACCCUCUGGAAACAGCUAGUGCUGGGUCAAAAAUGACCAAUCCAAGACACGGAAUGUGUUUUACAUUUCAAGCUCUUCUUAUGCUGACCUGAAUGUAAGAAAGGAGAGGGCAGGACUCACAGUGACUAAAGAACUCUCCUAGCGAAUCUCAAAUCGCCAAUCCUACGAAGCCUUUUCCAUGACGUUAAACAUCUUCCACUUUACUCCUCACCUCUACAAGGCUGUUUCGCUCCCUUUCUGAGCACAUAUGUAACUGAAAAGUAACAUUAUUCCUUGCUACGAAGUUUAGUUAGCAGCUGUGAUGUUGCUUUUUAAUGACAUCACUCAUACAUUAUGAAUGAGGAAUUUGAAGAGCAGAAAAAAAAAGGCAGCGUGAAUAAUCGUUAACUGUUCAGCUGCUUGAGGAGGUUUGUAUAGCAAGUAAUAAAUCCUCCAGCCUUCUUGUUUGUAAGAACAAGUUGG
Molecule: long non-coding RNA, 678 nt
Organism: Mauremys reevesii (Reeves's turtle)
Lineage: Eukaryota; Metazoa; Chordata; Testudines; Geoemydidae
Exons: 4
Source: RefSeq, a predicted model, not a curated record